RNAcentral lists this unclassified non-coding RNA (303 nucleotides) under Hevea brasiliensis (rubber tree). Lineage: Eukaryota; Viridiplantae; Streptophyta; Magnoliopsida; Malpighiales; Euphorbiaceae. The record is from RNAcentral.
UGCAAAGCCAAUUGCAAAGCACAGAAAGGGGAACAAUGACGCGGUGAGAAUCAUCGUCUUUAUCCAGCUUUUACCGCCAUUCCGAGAAUAAAGACCCCCACUAACAUAGCCAGAUAUAAACGAUGUAAGAGCAUAACAGACUAUGAACGUCGUGACAAUGGCUCCACGCCCAAUGUACAGUGUCCCGAUGAUUGCCAUUAAAAUGACAAGAAGUACAAGCAUUGCCAACUGAGCACCAGUACCAACAACAGCUGAAAGCAGAACUAAAUUUCGAGGAGGCCGGAAGACAUCACCAUGGACCAG